CCUACGGGAGGCAGCAGUGGGGAAUUUUGGACAAUGGACGCAAGUCUGAUCCAGCCAUGCCGCGUGCGGGAAGAAGGCCUUCGGGUUGUAAACCGCUUUUGUCAGGGAAGAAAAGGUUCUGGUUAAUACCUGGGACUCAUGACGGUACCUGAAGAAUAAGCACCGGCUAACUACGUGCCAGCAGCCGCGGUAAUACGUAGGGUGCAAGCGUUAAUCGGAAUUACUGGGCGUAAAGCGUGCGCAGGCGGUUAUGCAAGACAGAGGUGAAAUCCCCGGGCUCAACCUGGGAACUGCCUUUGUGACUGCAUAGCUAGAGUACGGUAGAGGGGGAUGGAAUUCCGCGUGUAGCAGUGAAAUGCGUAGAUAUGCGGAGGAACACCGAUGGCGAAGGCAAUCCCCUGGACCUGUACUGACGCUCAUGCACGAAAGCGUGGGGAGCAAACAGGAUUAGAUACCCUGGUAGUCCACGCCCUAAACGAUGUCAACUGGUUGUUGGGAGGGUUUCUUCUCAGUAACGUAGCUAACGCGUGAAGUUGACCGCCUGGGGAGUACGGCCGCAAGGUUGAAACUUAAAGGAAUUGACGGCUGNGAGNGCGAGCGACGACGAGGAGAGG
RNAcentral lists this ribosomal RNA (614 nucleotides) under uncultured bacterium. Its description in RNAcentral is "bacterial SSU rRNA". It matches the Rfam family "Bacterial small subunit ribosomal RNA", at positions 338 to 945 of the family's 1533-position model. The record is from RNAcentral.